Molecule: small RNA, 295 nt
Filed under: Arabidopsis thaliana (thale cress)
Lineage: Eukaryota; Viridiplantae; Streptophyta; Magnoliopsida; Brassicales; Brassicaceae
Description: ATSL202650
Source: RNAcentral
UCAAACCAUAACCUAACAACAACUCAGUCAAAACAUAAACCAUACUCAACCAUAUCAUAACAGACACUCAGCCAUAACAUAAACAAACUCAGCCGUCAUAUAACAGAAACUCAUCCAUCGAUGUAAGGUUAAACCAUAACUCAAUCACAGCAUAAAACAAACUCAGACAUAGAUGAAUUGAUAAAUCAUAAAUCAGUCGGCAAACAAACAGUAACUCAGCCGUCAAAUCAAAUAGAUCUAACAAAUCGGCCACCAUAUGUCAAUCAACGACGACGUUAAAAACCAGCUUUAAGCA